AUUGAACGCUGGCGGCAGGCCUAACACAUGCAAGUCGAACGGUAACAGGAAGCAGCUUGCUGCUUUGCUGACGAGUGGCGGACGGGUGAGUAAUGUCUGGGAAACUGCCUGAUGGAGGGGGAUAACUACUGGAAACGGUAGCUAAUACCGCAUAACGUCGCAAGACCAAAGAGGGGGACCUUAUGGCCUCUUGCCAUCGGAUGUGCCCAGAUGGGAUUAGCUAGUAGGUGGGGUAACGGCUCACCUAGGCGACGAUCCCUAGCUGGUCUGAGAGGAUGACCAGCCACACUGGAACUGAGACACGGUCCAGACGCCUACGGGAGGCAGCAGUGGGGAAUAUUGCACAAUGGGCGCAAGCCUGAUGCAGCCAUGCCGCGUGUAUGAAGAAGGCCUUCGGGUUGUAAAGUACUUUCAGCGGGGAGGAAGGGAGUAAAGUUAAUACCUUUGCUCAUUGACGGUACCCGCAGAAGAAGCACCGGCUAACUCCGUG
Molecule: ribosomal RNA, 490 nt
Filed under: uncultured bacterium
Lineage: Bacteria
Description: partial 16S ribosomal RNA
Rfam family: Bacterial small subunit ribosomal RNA
Source: RNAcentral